RNAcentral lists this ribosomal RNA (188 nucleotides) under Salmonella enterica subsp. enterica serovar Senftenberg. Its description in RNAcentral is "partial 23S ribosomal RNA". It matches the Rfam family "Bacterial large subunit ribosomal RNA", at positions 2743 to 2925 of the family's 2925-position model. RNAcentral also lists the same sequence under 10 other names. The record is from RNAcentral. Lineage: Bacteria; Pseudomonadati; Pseudomonadota; Gammaproteobacteria; Enterobacterales; Enterobacteriaceae.
CGGUAGCUAAAUGCGGAAGAGAUAAGUGCUGAAAGCAUCUAAGCACGAAACUUGCCCCGAGAUGAGUUCUCCCUGAGACUUAGAGUCUCCUGAAGGAACGUUGAAGACGACGACGUUGAUAGGCCGGGUGUGUAAGCGCAGCGAUGCGUUGAGCUAACCGGUACUAAUGAACCGUGAGGCUUAACCUU